Molecule: transfer RNA, 65 nt
Filed under: Cnemaspis mahsuriae
Lineage: Eukaryota; Metazoa; Chordata; Lepidosauria; Squamata; Gekkonidae
Description: tRNA-Trp
Source: RNAcentral
AAAUUUAGGAUAUUACUAAACCGAGGGCCUUCAAAGCCCUAAAAAAGGGGCCCCCCUUAAUUUCU